UCCCUGGUGGUCUAGUGCUGAGACUCCACACUGCCAACUUAGGGGGCCUGGGUUCAAUCCCUGGUCAGGGAA
RNAcentral lists this transfer RNA (72 nucleotides) under Bos taurus (domestic cattle). It matches the Rfam family "tRNA". From Rfam's summary of the family: Transfer RNA (tRNA) molecules are approximately 80 nucleotides in length. Their secondary structure includes four short double-helical elements and three loops (D, anti-codon, and T loops). Lineage: Eukaryota; Metazoa; Chordata; Mammalia; Artiodactyla; Bovidae. The record is from Rfam by way of RNAcentral. RNAcentral also lists the same sequence under 2 other names.